UACGUAGGGUGCGAGCGUUAAUCGGAAUUACUGGGCGUAAAGCGUGCGCAGGCGGUUUUGUAAGCCAGAUGUGAAAUCCCCGGGCUUAACCUGGGAAUGGCAUUUGGGACUGCAAGGCCGGAGUUUGGCAGAGGAGACUGGAAUUCCUGGUGUAGCAGUGAAAUGCGUAGAUAUCAGGAGGAAUACCGAUGGCGAAGGCAGGUCUCUGGGCUAUAACUGACGCUCAUGCACGAAAGCGUGGGGAGCAAACAGG
Molecule: ribosomal RNA, 253 nt
Filed under: uncultured bacterium
Lineage: Bacteria
Description: partial 16S ribosomal RNA
Rfam family: Bacterial small subunit ribosomal RNA
Source: RNAcentral